RNAcentral lists this long non-coding RNA (1359 nucleotides) under Gallus gallus (chicken). RNAcentral describes it as "lncRNA (ENSGALG00010003071.1)". Lineage: Eukaryota; Metazoa; Chordata; Aves; Galliformes; Phasianidae. The record is from RNAcentral.
CUCUACCAUGGCUCCUGGGCAGGGGACAACGACACUGGGUGUCCCCACAGCAGGGUGACCCUAUGUGGGGUUGCUGGCUCUACUGUUCACUUUCUCUUCCAGAUGGUGCAGCGUUCAAUAUUGAAUUGUGACCACUCUUUAGCCGUGAGAUAACCUUGCUCCAGUAGUGCUGAGUGCCCACAAGGAAUAUCUCCAGUGUAGUUUGAUGGAAGUGAAAGAAAAAAGAAAUCCAGCCUGGUACUUGUUGUGAGUUGCACUGUCUGCAUGUAUCAACGUUCAACUCAGAAAGAGGAGGAGUCCUAGUGCUGAGCUGCAGUUUUCUAGGCAGUGUAAUGUUUUCUCGGAGCUUCUGAGACCAACGCAUCAUUGUUUGGAUUCACGAUGAUGGAUAGUGUCCCUGUCUCUCCAAGUGGAAAGCUUCUGCAUAACAAAUGACCCUCGGUGCUGCUCUUGGAGACUUAGUCACAGAAUGCAGAGCCAUGGGUACCUGUUCACGUGGCAUCUCCAUGUUUGCAUCUGACAUGGAUAUUCAAGACCUGCCUGGACUCUAUCCUCCUCAACCUACUGUGGAGAAGAGCUGCCAUGCUGUGAUGAUCAUUGGCCAGUUGCACUCCCCUGGACACAUCUCACCAGGAUGUACGCAUGCUUGCUAAGCUGCAGAAGUGGGACUCACAGCCGUCUCCAGAGGACUGUGAAAGAUGGGGGUCAGCUCUCCUCCAGCCGGGAUGAGGACCCUGCCCCUAUUUCUGCCUGGGGAAGGGCAAGAUGCACUGAGUUAGGACCCCGUCAUCCUCUCACUGGACCUGCGUUGAACAGAGCUGGGCCCAUCUCGCAUACUUUCCGCUAGCAGCUCGAAGGAUUUAGGGCUGGAGGUGGACUAAUAGCAACAUUUUAAUGAGAAGAAAGAUGCAAAAGGACAUCUUCAUUUCACACGAAGGACUAGGCAUCUGCCUGGAAGUUUAGGGUCGCAGAGAGAGGCUGAAGCAGAGAAGGGGAAAGAAACGCACCUGUCUGAAUUGCCAGCCUACAGACCCAGGCUCCCUCUGCAAUCACUGCCACCAAUAUCCUGGAAAUAUUCAAUUUAUUUAAGACAAUUCUGAAGCUCCCUUAUAGAGAAGCCAACAAAGCUGCUAUUGCAAAUAAGACAAAUACCUUACCCUGAAUAUGUCCAGUUCUUUUCUACCCCCGUUGCUUCCUGUUGGAUGACACCUACAGUCAUUUGCAAACAUGAGUAACAGACAUCCUGCAUAUGUUUACUCUUCCUUGCAAGCAUUUGCAGUUAGAGGUUGAGUUACUUCAGCUCAGACAGCGUUAUUGUUCUGUGUGCAUGGAAGUGCUGCAGUGUGAACUGGAAUCUGG